Molecule: ribosomal RNA, 400 nt
Filed under: uncultured bacterium
Lineage: Bacteria
Description: bacterial SSU rRNA
Rfam family: Bacterial small subunit ribosomal RNA
Source: RNAcentral
UAAGGAAUAUUGGUCAAUGGACGAAAGUCUGAACCAGCCAUGCCGCGUGGAGGAUGAAGGUCCUCUGGAUUGUAAACUUCUUUUAUAGGGGACGAAAAAAGGACAUUCUUGUCCGUCUGACGGUACCCUGUGAAUAAGCACCGGCUAACUCCGUGCCAGCAGCCGCGGUAAUACGGAGGGUGCAAGCGUUAUCCGGAUUUACUGGGUUUAAAGGGUGCGUAGGCGGAUAGGUAAGUCAGGGGUGAAAUCUUCGAGCUUAACUCGGAAACUGCCUUUGAUACUAUCUAUCUUGAAUAUUGUGGAGGUAAGCGGAAUAUGUCAUGUAGCGGUGAAAUGCUUAGAUAUGACAUAGAACACCUAUUGCGAAGGCAGCUUACUACGCAUAUAUUGACGCUGAGGC